UGAGCAGGCGGUUUUGUAAGUCAGAUGUGAAAUCCCCGGGCUUAACCUGGGAACUGCGUUUGAAACUACAAGACUAGAGUGUAGCAGAGGGGGGUGGAAUUCCACGUGUAGCAGUGAAAUGCGUAGAUAUGUGGAAGAACACCGAUGGCGAAGGCAGCCCCCUGGGUUAACACUGACGCUCAGGCACGAAAGCGUGGGGAGCAAACAGGAUUAGAUACCCUGGUAGUCC
RNAcentral lists this ribosomal RNA (229 nucleotides) under uncultured bacterium. RNAcentral describes it as "partial 16S ribosomal RNA". It matches the Rfam family "Bacterial small subunit ribosomal RNA", at positions 568 to 796 of the family's 1533-position model. The record is from RNAcentral.